RNAcentral lists this ribosomal RNA (1244 nucleotides) under Psychrobacter sp. RNAcentral's name for it is "bacterial SSU rRNA". It matches the Rfam family "Bacterial small subunit ribosomal RNA", at positions 90 to 1332 of the family's 1533-position model. Lineage: Bacteria; Pseudomonadati; Pseudomonadota; Gammaproteobacteria; Moraxellales; Moraxellaceae. The record is from RNAcentral.
GACGAGCGGCGGACGGGUGAGUAAUACUUAGGAAUCUACCUAGUAGUGGGGGAUAGCACGGGGAAACUCGUAUUAAUACCGCAUACGACCUACGGGAGAAAGGGGGCAGUUUACUGCUCUCGCUAUUAGAUGAGCCUAAGUCGGAUUAGCUAGAUGGUGGGGUAAAGGCCUACCAUGGCGACGAUCUGUAGCUGGUCUGAGAGGAUGAUCAGCCACACCGGGACUGAGACACGGCCCGGACUCCUACGGGAGGCAGCAGUGGGGAAUAUUGGACAAUGGGGGCAACCCUGAUCCAGCCAUGCCGCGUGUGUGAAGAAGGCCUUUUGGUUGUAAAGCACUUUAAGCAGUGAAGAAGACUCCAUGGUUAAUACCCAUGGACGAUGACAUUAGCUGCAGAAUAAGCACCGGCUAACUCUGUGCCAGCAGCCGCGGUAAUACAGAGGGUGCAAGCGUUAAUCGGAAUUACUGGGCGUAAAGGGAGCGUAGGUGGCUCGAUAAGUCAGAUGUGAAAUCCCCGGGCUCAACCUGGGAACUGCAUCUGAUACUGUUGAGCUAGAGUAUGUGAGAGGAAGGUAGAAUUCCAGGUGUAGCGGUGAAAUGCGUAGAGAUCUGGAGGAAUACCGAUGGCGAAGGCAGCCUUCUGGCAUAAUACUGACACUGAGGCUCGAAAGCGUGGGUAGCAAACAGGAUUAGAUACCCUGGUAGUCCACGCCGUAAACGAUGUCUACUAGUCGUUGGGUCCCUUGAGGACUUAGUGACGCAGCUAACGCAAUAAGUAGACCGCCUGGGGAGUACGGCCGCAAGGUUAAAACUCAAAUGAAUUGACGGGGGCCCGCACAAGCGGUGGAGCAUGUGGUUUAAUUCGAUGCAACGCGAAGAACCUUACCUGGUCUUGACAUAUCUAGAAUCCUGCAGAGAUGCGGGAGUGCCUUCGGGAAUUAGAAUACAGGUGCUGCAUGGCUGUCGUCAGCUCGUGUCGUGAGAUGUUGGGUUAAGUCCCGCAACGAGCGCAACCCUUGUCCUUAGUUACCAGCGGGUUAAGCCGGGAACUCUAAGGAUACUGCCAGUGACAAACUGGAGGAAGGCGGGGACGACGUCAAGUCAUCAUGGCCCUUACGACCAGGGCUACACACGUGCUACAAUGGUAGGUACAGAGGGCAGCUACACAGCGAUGUGAUGCGAAUCUCAAAAAGCCUAUCGUAGUCCAGAUUGGAGUCUGCAACUCGACUCCAUGAAGUAGGAAU